GGCUGAUUGGAGUGCAGUGGUGUUUACAACUAAUUGAUCACAACCAGUUACAGAUUCCUUUGUUCCUUCUCCACUCUCACUGCUUCAUUUGACUAGCCUAAA
RNAcentral lists this Y RNA (102 nucleotides) under Prolemur simus (greater bamboo lemur). Its description in RNAcentral is "Y RNA (ENSPSMG00000010288.1)". It matches the Rfam family "Y RNA". From Rfam's summary of the family: Y RNAs are components of the Ro ribonucleoprotein particle (Ro RNP), in association with Ro60 and La proteins. The Y RNAs and Ro60 and La proteins are well conserved, but the function of the Ro RNP is not known. Lineage: Eukaryota; Metazoa; Chordata; Mammalia; Primates; Lemuridae. The record is from Rfam by way of RNAcentral.